GACGAACGCUGGCGGCGUGCCUAAUACAUGCAAGUAGAACGCUGAAGAGAGGAGCUUGCUCUUCUUGGAUGAGUUGCGAACGGGUGAGUAACGCGUAGGUAACCUGCCUUGUAGCGGGGGAUAACUAUUGGAAACGAUAGCUAAUACCGCAUAACAAUAGGUGACACAUGUCAUUUAUUUGAAAGGGGCAAUUGCUCCACUACAAGAUGGACCUGCGUUGUAUUAGCUAGUAGGUGAGGUAACGGCUCACCUAGGCGACGAUACAUAGCCGACCUGAGAGGGUGAUCGGCCACACUGGGACUGAGACACGGCCCAGACUCCUACGGGAGGCAGCAGUAGGGAAUCUUCGGCAAUGGGGGCAACCCUGACCGAGCAACGCCGCGUGUGUGAAGAAGGUUUUCGGAUCGUAAAGCUCUGUUGUAGGUCAAGAACGAGUGUGAGAGUGGAAAGUUCACACUGUGACGGUAGCUUACCAGAAAGGGACGGCUAACUACGUG
This 497-nucleotide ribosomal RNA is filed under the name uncultured bacterium. Its description in RNAcentral is "partial 16S ribosomal RNA". It matches the Rfam family "Bacterial small subunit ribosomal RNA", at positions 28 to 507 of the family's 1533-position model. The record is from RNAcentral.